AAAAUCAAAUAAAAAAAUUUAAAAAAAGAAAAAGAACGGGGGAUUACCUGAGAACGGGAGAAACAAACAGUGUGUAGGUUCAACAAAAUGAGGAGAAGUUCUCACUGAUCUCUGCACAUACCAUCAACAACAAACUUAAAUUAAUUCAUUGAUAUAAAAAACAAAGUAACAAAAGAAAUAGCCUGCAUAAUGGAGUAGUACCCUUUCACCCAGCAACACUCACAACACUCACAGUACCCUCUCACUCAAACGUCCCUUAUUAUAACAACUUGUAACAUUGCACUCUUCCAAUAAUAAAUUGACACGUCAUUAUAUACUACACUCUCCACUACUCUAUUGUCUACUAUAAAUUUUACAAAUAAAAUUACUUAACUAACUUCGUCUUAUUUUAAAAAGCAUAAUGUUUUUUAUUUCUUUUUUUAAUAUAUAAAAAACUCAUAUAUAAUUUUAAAUGAUUAUUUGUCAAUAUAUCAUCUCUUAUAUAAAUCAUAUUAUUAUUUUCAUGUUAAUUCUAUAAAUAAAUCAUUUUAAGAAAUCAUUUGUUACUAAUUAUUAAUCUAAUUUAAUUUUAUACAAAUUAUAAAUUAUCAGAGAAUGUUCGCAGUAUAAUUUAGAUUCAUCCAACCAAAAAUAAUAAGAUGUAGAAAAUUGUUUUUUCGUGUAAUAUAUAUACGAAGUUAUUUGCUACUUACGUUAUGUUUAGUAGCAAUGAACUUGAUGAUUAGUAAUGAAUUUGUUUCAUUUUGUGCAUUCUUCUGUGUUUGAGUUUGAUAUAUAUAAAAAAUCAAAUAAAAAAAUUUAAAAAAAAGAAAAAGAACGGGGAUUACCUGAGAACGGGAGAAACAAACAGUGUGUAGGUUCAACAAAAUGAGGAGAAGUUCUCACUGAUCUCUGCACAUACAUCAACAACAAACUUAAAUUAAUUCAUUGAUAUAAAAAAAACAAAGUAACAAAAGAAAAUAGCCUGCAUAAUGGAGGUAGUACCCUUUCACCCAGCAACACUCACACCUCACAGUACCCUCUCACUCAAACGUCCCUUAUUAUAACAACUUGUAACAUUGCACUCUUCCAAUAAUAAAUUGACACGUCAUUAUAUACUACACUCUCCACUACUCUAUUGUCUACUAUAAAAUUUUACAAAUAAAAUUACUUAACUAACUUCGUCUUAUUUUAAAAGCAUAAUGUUUUUAUUUUCUUUUUUUUAAUAUAUAAAAAAUCUCAUAUAUAAUUUAAAUGAUUAUUUGUCAAAUAUUCAUCUCUUAUAUAAAUCAUAUUAUUAUUUCAUGUUAAUUCUAUAAAUAAAUCAUUUUUAAGAAAUCAUUUGUUACUAAUUAUUAAUCUAAUUUAAUUUUAUACAAAUUAUAAAUUAUCAGAGAAGUUCGCAGUAUAAUUUAGAUUCAUCCAAACCAAAAAUAAUAAGAUGUAGAAAAUUGUUUUUCGUGUAUAUAUAUAUACGAAGUUAUUUGCUACUUACGUUAUGUUAGUAGCAAUGAACUUUGAUGAUUAGUAAUGAAUUUGUUUCAUUUUGUGCAUUCUUCUGUGUUUGAGUUUGAUAAUAUAAAAAAUCAAAUAAAAAAAUUUAAAAAAAGAAAAAGAACGGGGAUUACCUGAGAACGGAGAAACAAACAGUGUGUAGGUUAACAAAAUGAGGAGAAGUUCUCACUGAUCUCUGCACAUACCAUCAACAACAAACUAAAUUAUUCAUUGAUAUAAAAAAAAAACAAAGUAACAAAAGAAAAUAGCCGCAUAAUGGAGGUAGUACCCUUCACCCAGCAACACUCACAACACUCACAGUACCCUCUCACUCAAACGUCCCUUAUUAUAACAACUUGUAACAUUGCACUCUUCCAAUAAUAAAUUGACACGUCAUUAUAUACUACACUCUCACUACUCUAUUGUCUACUAUAAAAUUUUACAAAUAAAAUUACUUAACUAACUCGUCUUAUUUUAAAAAGCAUAAUGUUUUUAUUUUCUUUUUUUUAAUAUAUAAAAUCUCAUAUAUAAUUUUAAAUGAUUAUUUGUCAAUAAUCAUCUCUUAUAUAAAUCAUAUUAUUAUUUUCAUGUUAAUUCUAUAAAUAAAUCAUUUUAAGAAAUCAUUUGUUACUAAUUAUUAAUCUAAUUUAAUUUUAUACAAAUAUAAAUAUCAGAGAAUGUUCGCAGUUAAAUUUAGAUUCAUCCAACCAAAAAUAAUAAGAUGUAGAAAAUUGUUUUUUCGUGUAAUAUAUAUACGAAGUUAUUUGCUACUUACGUUAUGUUAGUAGCAAUGAACUUGAUGAUUAGUAAUGAAUUUGUUUCAUUUUGUGCAUUCUUCUGUGUUUGAGUUUUGAAUAUAUAAAAAAAUCAAAUAAAAAAAUUAAAAAAAAGAAAAAGAACGGGGAUUACCUGAGAACGGGAGAAACAAACAGUGUGUAGGUUCAACAAAAUGAGGAGAAGUUCUCACUGAUCUCUGCACAUACCAUCAACAACAAACUAAAUUAAUUCAUUGAUAUAAAAAAACAAAGUAACAAAAGAAAAUAGCCUGCAUAAUGAGGUAGUACCCUUUCACCCAGCAACACUCACAACACUCACAGUACCCUCUCACUCAAACGUCCCUUAUAUAACAACUUGUAACAUUGCACUCUUCCAAUAAUAAAUUGACACGUCAUAUUAUACUACACUCUCCACUACUCUAUUGUCUACUAUAAAAUUUUACAAAUAAAAUUACUUAACUAACUUCGUCUUAUUUUAAAAAGCAUAAUGUUUUUAUUUUCUUUUUUUUAAUAUAUAAAAAUCUCAUAUAUAAUUUAAAUGAUAUUUGUCAAUAUAUUCAUCUCUAUAUAAAUCAUAUUAUUAUUUUUAUGUUAAUUCUAUAAAUAAAUCAUUUUUAAGAAAUCAUUGUUACUAAUAUUAAUCUAAUUUAAUUUUAUACAAAUUAUAAAUUAUCAGAGAAUGUUCGCAGUAUAAUUUAGAUUCAUCCAAACCAAAAAUAAUAAGAUGUAGAAAAUUGUUUUUUCGUGUAUAUAUAUAACGAAGUUAUUUGCUACUUACGUUAUGUUUAGUAGCAAUGAACUUGAUGAUUAGUAAUGAAUUUGUUUCAUUUUGUGCAUUCUUCUGUGUUUGAGUUUUGAUAUAUAUAAAAAUCAAUAAAAAAAUUUAAAAAAAAGAAAAGAACGGGGGAUUACCUGAGAACGGGAGAAACAAAACAGUGUGUAGGUUCAACAAAAUGAGGAGAAGUUCUCACUGAUCUCUGCACAUACCAUCAACAACAAACUUAAAUUAAUUCAUUGAUAUAAAAAAACAAAGUAACAAAAGAAAAAGCCUGCAUAAUGGAGGUAGACCCUUUCACCCAGCAACACUCACACACUCACAGUACCCUCUCACUCAAACGUCCCUUAUUAUAACAACUUGUAACAUUGCACUCUUCCAAUAAUAAAUUGACACGUCAUUAUAUACUACACUCUCCACUACUCUAUUGUCUACUAUAAAAUUUUACAAAUAAAUUACUAACUAACUUCGUCUUAUUUAAAAAGCAUAAUGUUUUUUAUUUCUUUUUUAAUAUAUAAAAAUCUCAUAUAUAAUUAAAUGAUAUUUGUCAUAUAUCAUCUCUAUAUAAAUCAUAUUAUUAUUUUUAUUUUCAUGUUAAUUCUAUAAAUAAAUCAUUUUUAAGAAAUCAUUUGUUACUAAUUAUUAAUCUCAUUUAAUUUUAUACAAAAUUAUAAAUUAUCAGAGAAUGUUCGCAUUAUAAUUUAGAUUCAUCCAAUUCCAAAAAUAAUAAGAUGUAGAAAAUUGUUUUUUCAUAUAUAUAUAUAUAUAUAUGAAGUUAUUUGCUACUUACGUUAUGUUUAGUAGCAAUGAACUUUGAUGAUUAGUAAUGAAUUUGUUUCAUUUUGUGCAUUCUUCUGUGUUUGAGUUUUGAUAUAUAUAAAAAUCAAAGAAAAAAAUUUAAAAAAAAGAAAAAGAACGGGGGAUUACCUGAGAACGGAAGAAACAAACAAUGUGUAGGUUCAACAAAAUGAGGAGAUGUUCUCACUGAUCUCUGCACAUACCAUCAACAACAAACUUAAAUUAAUUCAUUGAUAUAAAAAACAAAGUAACAAAAGAAAAUAGCCUGCAUAAUGGAGGUAGUACCCUUUCACCCAGCAACACUCACAAUACCCUCUCACUCAAACGUCCCUUAUUAUAACAACUUGUAACAUUGCACUCUUCCAAUAAUAAAUUGACAC
Molecule: long non-coding RNA, 4202 nt
Filed under: Lathyrus oleraceus (garden pea)
Lineage: Eukaryota; Viridiplantae; Streptophyta; Magnoliopsida; Fabales; Fabaceae
Description: Pisum sativum (pea) long non-coding RNA (PSAT_LNC040746)
Source: RNAcentral